This 556-nucleotide ribosomal RNA is filed under the name uncultured bacterium. RNAcentral's name for it is "bacterial SSU rRNA". It matches the Rfam family "Bacterial small subunit ribosomal RNA", at positions 79 to 624 of the family's 1533-position model. The record is from RNAcentral.
CUUGCUUCUCUUGAGAGCGGCGGACGGGUGAGUAAUGCCUAGGAAUCUGCCUGGUAGUGGGGGAUAACGUCCGGAAACGGACGCUAAUACCGCAUACGUCCUACGGGAGAAAGCAGGGGACCUUCGGGCCUUGCGCUAUCAGAUGAGCCUAGGUCGGAUUAGCUAGUUGGUGGGGUAAUGGCUCACCAAGGCGACGAUCCGUAACUGGUCUGAGAGGAUGAUCAGUCACACUGGAACUGAGACACGGUCCAGACUCCUACGGGAGGCAGCAGUGGGGAAUAUUGGACAAUGGGCGAAAGCCUGAUCCAGCCAUGCCGCGUGUGUGAAGAAGGUCUUCGGAUUGUAAAGCACUUUAAGUUGGGAGGAAGGGCAGUAAAUUAAUACUUUGCUGUUUUGACGUUACCGACAGAAUAAGCACCGGCUAACUCUGUGCCAGCAGCCGCGGUAAUACAGAGGGUGCAAAGCGUUUAAUCGGAAUUACUGGGCGUAAAGCGCGCGUAGGUGGUUCGUUUAAAUUGGAUGUGAAAAUCCCCCGGGCUCAACCCUGGGAAACUGC